UCCCUCAUAGCUCAGUUGGUAAAGAAUCUGCCUGCAAUGCAGCAGACCUGGGUUCGAUUCCUGGGUCGGGAA
RNAcentral lists this transfer RNA (72 nucleotides) under Capra hircus (goat). It matches the Rfam family "tRNA". Rfam says of the family: Transfer RNA (tRNA) molecules are approximately 80 nucleotides in length. Their secondary structure includes four short double-helical elements and three loops (D, anti-codon, and T loops). The record is from Rfam by way of RNAcentral. Lineage: Eukaryota; Metazoa; Chordata; Mammalia; Artiodactyla; Bovidae. RNAcentral also lists the same sequence under 1 other name.